RNAcentral lists this ribosomal RNA (503 nucleotides) under uncultured bacterium. RNAcentral describes it as "partial 16S ribosomal RNA". It matches the Rfam family "Bacterial small subunit ribosomal RNA", at positions 30 to 523 of the family's 1533-position model. The record is from RNAcentral.
AUUGAACGCUGGCGGCAGGCUUAACACAUGCAAGUCGAGCGGGGUGAUGGUGCUUGCACUAUCACUUAGCGGCGGACGGGUGAGUAAUGCUUAGGAAUCUGCCUAUUAGUGGGGGACAACAUCUCGAAAGGGAUGCUAAUACCGCAUACGUCCUACGGGAGAAAGCAGGGGAUCACUUGUGACCUUGCGCUAAUAGAUGAGCCUAAGUCGGAUUAGCUAGUUGGUGGGGUAAAGGCCUACCAAGGCGACGAUCUGUAGCGGGUCUGAGAGGAUGCUCCGCCACACUGGGACUGGGAAACAGCCCAGACUCCUACGGGAGGCAGCAGUGGGGAAUAUUGGACAAUGGGGGGAACCCUGAUCCAGGCAUGCCGCGUGUGUGAAGAAGGCCUUAUGGUUGUAAAGCACUUUAAGCGAGGAGGAGGCUCUUUUGGUUAAUACCCAAGAUGAGUGGACGUUACUCGCAGAAUAAGCACCGGCUAACUCUGUGCCAGCCGCCGCCGUAA